UGGGGAAUUUUGGACAAUGGGCGAAAGCCUGAUCCAGCAAUGCCGCGUGUGUGAAGAAGGCCUUCGGGUUGUAAAGCACUUUUGUCCGGAAAGAAAUCCUUGGCUCUAAUACAGUCGGGGGAUGACGGUACCGGAAGAAUAAGCACCGGCUAACUACGUGCCAGCAGCCGCGGUAAUACGUAGGGUGCAAGCGUUAAUCGGAAUUACUGGGCGUAAAGCGUGCGCAGGCGGUUUGCUAAGACCGAUGUGAAUCCCCGGGCUCAACCUGGGAACUGCAUUGGUGACUGGCAGGCUAGAGUAUGGCAGAGGGGGGUAGAAUUCCACGUGUAGCAGUGAAAUGCGUAGAGAUGUGGAGGAAUACCGAUGGCGAAGGCAGCCCCCUGGGCCAAUACUGACGCUCAUGCACGAAAGCGUGGGGAGCAAACAGGAUUAGAUACCCUGGUAGUCCACGCCCUAAACGAUGUCAACUAGUUGUUGGGGAUUCAUUUCCUUAGUAACGUAGCUAACGCGUGAAGUUGACCGCCUGGGGAGUACGGUCGCAAGAUUAAAACUCAAAGGAAUUGACGGGGUCAUAGCUGUUUCCU
RNAcentral lists this ribosomal RNA (584 nucleotides) under uncultured bacterium. Its description in RNAcentral is "partial 16S ribosomal RNA". It matches the Rfam family "Bacterial small subunit ribosomal RNA", at positions 355 to 1375 of the family's 1533-position model. The record is from RNAcentral.